AUCUAUGGCCAUAUCACCCUGAGAAUACCUGAUCUUGUCUGAUCUCGGAAGACAAGCAGGGUCGGGCCCAGUUAGUACUUGGAUGGGCUAUCGCCUGGGAAUACCGGGUGCUGUAGGCU
RNAcentral lists this ribosomal RNA (119 nucleotides) under Cariama cristata (Red-legged seriema). The record is from RNAcentral. Lineage: Eukaryota; Metazoa; Chordata; Aves; Cariamiformes; Cariamidae.